UACGUAGGGGGCAAGCGUUGUCCGGAUUUAUUGGGCGUAAAGAGCGUGUAGGCGGCUGGGUAGGUCUGCUGUGAAAACUCGAGGCUCAACCUCGAGACGUCGGCGGAAACCCUCCAGCUAGAGUCCGGAAGAGGAGAGUGGAAUUCCUGGUGUAGCGGUGAAAUGCGCAGAUAUCAGGAAGAACACCCGUGGCGAAAGCGGCUCUCUGGGACGGUACUGACGCUGAGACGCGAAAGCGUGGGGAGCGAACAGG
RNAcentral lists this ribosomal RNA (253 nucleotides) under uncultured bacterium. RNAcentral describes it as "partial 16S ribosomal RNA". It matches the Rfam family "Bacterial small subunit ribosomal RNA", at positions 524 to 776 of the family's 1533-position model. The record is from RNAcentral.